This 516-nucleotide unclassified non-coding RNA is filed under the name Hevea brasiliensis (rubber tree). The record is from RNAcentral. Lineage: Eukaryota; Viridiplantae; Streptophyta; Magnoliopsida; Malpighiales; Euphorbiaceae.
UUACACAUCAAAAUGAUUAGCCAAGUUAAUAUUGCAAUUCAACCAUUUAUAUUUACCCUUACAUCUUUGUAUUUUCUUCAUGUAGACAAGAAUUCUCAAGCCCAACACUCCCCCAGUUAGUAAUAACCCAAUAUGGCCCAAUUAUAUAGCCUUAUAAGCGACUGAAACCCACAACACAAACCAAACUCUGAUACCAUGUUAAAUUUAGAGAGAGUGUUAGACAAAUUAUGUAAUAUUUCAUUUUUAAUCUACGCUAAUACAAGUGAUUAAGUUACUUUUCUUUAUAUAUCAAAAUAACUAACAAAGUUAAUGUUGCGACUUAAUUGCUCCUAUUUACACUUACAUCUUUGUAUUUUCUCAAUGUGGACAAGAAUUCCCAACACUUUUCUUUUUUUUUGCCAAAAAAAAAAAAGCAGCUCUUUGGGUGUAACGGUCACUGCUCCUAGGCUCAGGAUCUGCAGGUAAACACUUUCGUUGCCCCUAGUUUAACCGACCCAGGGGACCUACCACCCAUCG